UCCUCCAAGGCUAAAUACUCCUGACUGACCGAUAGUGAACCAGUACCGUGAGGGAAAGGCGAAAAGAACCCCGGCGAGGGGAGUGAAAAAGAACCUGAAACCGUGUACGUACAAGCAGUGGGAGCACCCUUUGGGUGUGACUGCGUACCUUUUGUAUAAUGGGUCAGCGACUUAUAUUCUGUAGCAAGGUUAACCGAAUAGGGGAGCCGGAGGGAAACCGAGUCUUAACCGGGCGUUAAGUUGCAGGGUAUAGACCCGAAACCCGGUGAUCUAGCCAUGGGCAGGUUGAAGGUUGGGUAACACUAACUGGAGGACCGAACCGACUAAUGUUGAAAAAUUAGCGGAUGACCUGUGGCU
This 357-nucleotide ribosomal RNA is filed under the name Salmonella enterica. RNAcentral describes it as "partial 23S ribosomal RNA". It matches the Rfam family "Bacterial large subunit ribosomal RNA", at positions 456 to 816 of the family's 2925-position model. Lineage: Bacteria; Pseudomonadati; Pseudomonadota; Gammaproteobacteria; Enterobacterales; Enterobacteriaceae. The record is from RNAcentral. RNAcentral also lists the same sequence under 2 other names.